GUCUUUUUGAAUUUAAUUUAAAGUCUAAUCUGCCCACUGAUAAAUAUUUAAGGGCCGCAGUAUUUUGACUGUGCAAAGGUAGCAUAAUCAUUAGUCUUUUAAUUGAGGGCUUGUAUGAAUGAUUGGACGAGAUAUAAGCUGUCUCAUAAAAAUUUAAGUAGAAUUUUAUUUUUUAGUCAAAAAGCUAAAAUAAAUUUAAAAGACGAGAAGACCCUAUAGAUCUUUAUAAUUUAUUUUUAAAUUUUUUUAGGUUAUUUUUUAGAUUUAUGAAUUAAAUUAUUUUGUUGGGGUGACAGUGAAAUUUAAUAAACUUUCAUUAUUUUGAAACAUUAAUUUAUGAUUAUUUGAUCCAUUAUUAGUGAUUAAAAAUUUAAGUUACCUUAGGGAUAACAGCGUAAUUAUUUUGGAGAGUUCUUAUCAAUAAAAUAGUUUGCGACCUCGAUGUUGGAUUAAGAUUAAUUCUGGGUGUAGCAGUUCAGUUUAUUAAGUCUGUUCGACUUUUAAUUUCUU
RNAcentral lists this ribosomal RNA (510 nucleotides) under Dolichopus acuticornis. RNAcentral describes it as "partial 16S ribosomal RNA". It matches the Rfam family "Bacterial large subunit ribosomal RNA", at positions 1819 to 2597 of the family's 2925-position model. The record is from RNAcentral. Lineage: Eukaryota; Metazoa; Arthropoda; Insecta; Diptera; Dolichopodidae.